GUAGGUGGCAAGCGUUGUCCGGAAUUAUUGGGCGUAAAGCGCGCGCAGGCGGUCCUUUAAGUCUGAUGUGAAAGCCCACGGCUCAACCGUGGAGGGUCAUUGGAAACUGGGGGACUUGAGUACAGAAGAGGAAAGCGGAAUUCCAAGUGUAGCGGUGAAAUGCGUAGAGAUUUGGAGGAACACCAGUGGCGAAGGCGGCUUUCUGGUCUGUGACUGACGCUGAGGCGCGAAAGCGUGGGGAGCAAACAGGGAUUAGAUACCCUGGUAGUCCACGCCGUAAACGAUGAGUGCUAAGUGUUAGGGGGUUUCCGCCCCCUUAGUGCUGCAGCUAACGCAUUAAGCACUCCGCCUGGGGAGUACGGCCGCAAGGCUG
This 373-nucleotide ribosomal RNA is filed under the name uncultured organism. Its description in RNAcentral is "partial 16S ribosomal RNA". It matches the Rfam family "Bacterial small subunit ribosomal RNA", at positions 527 to 896 of the family's 1533-position model. The record is from RNAcentral.